GUCCACGCCCUAAACGAUGUCAACUAGUUGUUGGUAGAGUAAAUCUAUGAGUAACGCAGCUAACGCGUGAAGUUGACCGCCUGGGGAGUACGAUCGCAAGAUUAAACUCAAAUGAAUUGACGGGGCCCGCACAAGCGGUGGAUUAUGUGGAUUAAUUCGAUGCAACGCGAAAACCUUACCUGGCCUUGACAUGUACGGAACUUUCCAGAGAUGGAUUGGUGCCCGAAGGGACCGUAACACAGGUGCUGCAUGGCUGUCGU
RNAcentral lists this ribosomal RNA (260 nucleotides) under uncultured bacterium. RNAcentral's name for it is "partial 16S ribosomal RNA". It matches the Rfam family "Bacterial small subunit ribosomal RNA", at positions 793 to 1055 of the family's 1533-position model. The record is from RNAcentral.